Molecule: ribosomal RNA, 373 nt
Filed under: uncultured organism
Description: bacterial SSU rRNA
Rfam family: Bacterial small subunit ribosomal RNA
Source: RNAcentral
CAGGGGAUGCAAGCGUUACUCGGAAUUACUGGGCGUAAAGCGUCUGCAGGCUUCUUUCCACGUCUGGUGUAAAAGCACGGGGCUCAACCCCGUGUACGUGCCGGAAACGAGAGAGAUCGAGUCAUUCAGAGGCAUCUGGAAUGCUGUGUGUAGGGGUAAAAUCCGUAGAUCCACAGUGGAACGCCAAAAGUGAAAACAGGAUGCUGGGAAUGUACUGACGCUCAGAGACGAAAGCGUGGGGAGCAAAGGGGAUUAGAUACCCCCGUAGUCCACGCCCUAAACGAUGUGGGCUCGGUGUUGGGAUUUUCAAUUGAUCUCAGUGCCUAAGCUAACGCGGUAAGCCCACCGCCUGGGAAGUACGGCCGCAAGGCUA